This is a non-coding RNA of Manis javanica (Malayan pangolin), 1167 nucleotides long. The record is from RefSeq and is a predicted model, not a curated record. NCBI's taxonomy places the organism in Eukaryota, Metazoa, Chordata, Mammalia, Pholidota, Manidae.
UCCAAAUACUUACCUGUUAGGGGUGUGCUUGCUGAAAACUCAUUGUUAAUUAACUUGGUGCAAAAAAUGAAGAAUGGUGAGAAGAUAAAAGAGACCUUUACACAAAGGGAUCUGAGUACUUAUUUUAGAAGAUCCCUUUUAUGUGGACUGUCUUCUCCCAGCACUCCAGGAAGUGUGUGCUAAGCUCAAUGGGCUAGCCUUGCCCUCCCAGCUGCAAACCUCCUUAAUGCCAAGUUACAGAGAAAGGACAUAGAGGAGUUAAACCUGCCGAUUACAGAUCAAGGUCAAAAACCCUGCCAGCUUCCCCUUCUCAAAGCUAUUGCCGUGGUUGCCUACUGAUACCCUGCCUCAAAGCCUCCUCCCCACAAAGCGCCCCCGCACACCAUUAGGCUAAUUGGCCUAAGCCAGAGCUCCGACACAAGAGCCACCCUUCAGGGGCUUCUGCCCCAAAGCCCUUGUGUUAGACCCUAGACUCCCUAGCAUUAGAACAAACCCUCAUUUCUCCUCUUGGCCUCUGGUAAUGGAGGGAUUGGUACAGUUUCUACGAUCAGUUUUAGCCAAACUACCUUUCCAGGCCUUCCAGGCUUCACAUUCCCUGUUCCGAUCUAUGCUCCGAGUGUCCUUGCCAGCCACAGACACCUCACAGUCCACACCUCGUGUCCUUGGACGCUCACAGUUCCCCACCUCCGUGUCUUUGCACAGGCUAUGUCUGCUGCCUGGAAUGCUCUCCUUACCAUCUCUGCCUCAGAAGAUCGACCUUGUCUGAAAUGCCUCCUCCUUUAGGAACCUUCUCAGAUCGUUUCUCCUCACCUCUCCCUCCCGUGGGACUUUAUUUGUAUUUUCCUAUACAGCUAAUAAUGUUUAUGUUGUAGUUGUCUGUGCUCUCGUCUUACCUGUCUCCCUAGUCCUGUGCUGUCCAAUGAGGUAGCUCCUAGUCCCAUGUGGCUAUAUAAUUUAAUUAAAAUGAAAUAAAGUUAAAAAUCCCAUUCCUCAGUUUCACUGGCCAUGUUCCAGGGGCUCCAUAGCCCUUGCAGCUGCUGGGAACUAUACUGGGAAGCACAGAGAGAGAACGUUACUGCCAUAGCCGGAAGUUCUAUUGGACAACGCUGGGACUGCAUAUCAUUCACUCCCUCUUAUGUUUAUUGAAUAAAAAUUAGUUGCAUUGAA